CAGCAGCCGCGGUAAUGCGAGGGGGGCAAGCGUUGUUCGGAAUUAUUGGGCGUAAAGGGUGCGUAGGCGGCUUGACAAGUCUUGUGUGAAAUCUAUGGGCUCAACCCAUAGUCUGCACGGGAAACUGUCGGGCUUGAGAAUGGGAGAGGUGAGUGGAAUUUCCGGUGUAGCGGUGAAAUGCAUAGAUAUCGGAAGGAACACCUGUGGCGAAAGCGGCUCACUGGACCAUUUCUGACGCUGAUGCACGAAAGCUAGGGGAGCAAACAGGAUUAGAUACCCCGGUAGUCCCUGUCUCUUAUAA
Molecule: ribosomal RNA, 301 nt
Filed under: uncultured bacterium
Lineage: Bacteria
Description: partial 16S ribosomal RNA
Rfam family: Bacterial small subunit ribosomal RNA
Source: RNAcentral